RNAcentral lists this ribosomal RNA (449 nucleotides) under uncultured bacterium. RNAcentral describes it as "bacterial SSU rRNA". It matches the Rfam family "Bacterial small subunit ribosomal RNA", at positions 355 to 796 of the family's 1533-position model. The record is from RNAcentral.
UCGAGAAUUUUUCUCAAUGGGCGCAAGCCUGAAGGAGCGACGCCGCGUGGAGGAUGAAGGUCUUCGGAUUGUAAACUCCUGUCAUUAGGGAACAAAGCCCACUUAGUAACUGAUGUUGGGUUUGCUAGUACCUGAAGAGGAAGAGACGGCUAACUCUGUGCCAGCAGCCGCGGUAAUACAGAGGUCUCAAGCGUUGUUCGGAUUCAUUGGGCGUAAAGGGUGCGUAGGCUGCGCUGUAAGUCGGGUGUGAAAUCCCGGGGCUCAACCCCGGAACUGCACUCGAUACUGCGGCGCUCGAGAACUGAAGAGGAGACUGGAAUUCCUGGUGUAGCAGUGAAAUGCGUAGAUAUCAGGAGGAACGCCAAUGGCGAAGGCAAGUCUCUGGGCAGUUUCUGACGCUGAGGCACGAAGGCCAGGGGAGCAAACGGGAUUAGAUACCCCCGUAGUCC